UACAGAGGGUGCGAGCGUUAAUCGGAAUUACUGGGCGUAAAGCGCACGUAGGUGGUUAAUUAAGUCGAUUGUGAAAUACCUGGGCUUAACCUGGGAACUGCAGUUGAUACUGGAUAACUAGAGUGUGGUAGAGGGAAGUGGAAUUUCCGGUGUAGCGGUGAAAUGCGUAGAUAUCGGAAGGAACACCAGUGGCGAAGGCGACUUCCUGGACUGACACUGACACUGAGGUGCGAAAGCGUGGGUAGCGAACAGG
RNAcentral lists this ribosomal RNA (253 nucleotides) under uncultured bacterium. RNAcentral's name for it is "partial 16S ribosomal RNA". It matches the Rfam family "Bacterial small subunit ribosomal RNA", at positions 524 to 776 of the family's 1533-position model. The record is from RNAcentral.